RNAcentral lists this transfer RNA (90 nucleotides) under Clostridia bacterium. RNAcentral describes it as "tRNA-Ser". It matches the Rfam family "tRNA". From Rfam's summary of the family: Transfer RNA (tRNA) molecules are approximately 80 nucleotides in length. Their secondary structure includes four short double-helical elements and three loops (D, anti-codon, and T loops). The record is from RNAcentral. Lineage: Bacteria; Bacillati; Bacillota; Clostridia.
GGAGAUGUACUCAAGUGGUGAAGAGGCGCCCCUGCUAAGGGUGUAGGUCGAGCAAUCGGCGCGAGAGUUCAAAUCUCUCCAUCUCCGCCA